This 623-nucleotide ribosomal RNA is filed under the name uncultured bacterium. RNAcentral's name for it is "bacterial SSU rRNA". The stretch from base 1 to 525 matches the Rfam family "Bacterial small subunit ribosomal RNA", at positions 338 to 873 of the family's 1533-position model. The record is from RNAcentral.
CCUACGGGAGGCAGCAGUGAGGAAUUUUCUGCAAUGGACGAAAGUCUGACAGAGCAAUACCGCGUGAAGGACGAAGGCCUGCGGGUUGUAAACUUCUUUUCCCAAGGAGGAAGACAUGACGUUACUUGGGGAAUAAGCAUCGGCUAACCCUGUGCCAGCAGCCGCGGUAAUACAGGGGAUGCGAGUGUUAUUCGGAAUUAUUGGGUGUAAAGCGUCAGCAGGUGGACUUGUAAGUCUUUGUAAAUUUCGGGCUUAACCCGAGGCAUGCAAAGGAAACUCCAAGUCUAGAGUAUGGUAGAGGUAAGAGGAAUUUCCAGAGGAGUGGUGAAAUGCGUAGAUAUUGGAAAGAACACCAACAGCGAAGGCAUCUUACUGGGCCAGUACUGACACUCAGUGACGAAAGCUUGGGUAGCAAACAGGAUUAGAUACCCUGGUAGUCCAAGCUGUAAACGAUGGGUACUAGGUGUUGUGUAACUCUCAGAGUAUGCAGUGCGUACGACUAACGUACGUUAACGUAACCCUACCGUACGGGAGGUAGUGCUCGCGAAGGUAGGAAACGUACAAAGGAAAGUUAGUACGGACGUGAGACGUAGCCGAACGGACGACGAACGAAGGGAGGUAGG